GGGGAAUAUUGGACAAUGGGCGCAAGCCUGAUCCAGCCAUACCGCGUGGGUGAAGAAGGCCUUCGGGUUGUAAGGCCUUUUGUUGGGAAAGGAAUCCAGGCGGCUAAUAACUGGUUGGGAAGACGGUAACCAAAGAAAUAGCCACGGCUUACCUCCGUGCCAGCAGCCGCGGUAAUACGAAGGGUGCAAGCGUUACUCGGAAUUACUGGGCGUAAAGCGUGCGUAGGUGGUCGUUUAAGUCCGUUGUGAAAGCCCUGGGCUCAACCUGGGAACUGCAGUGGAUACUGGGCGACUAGAGUGUGGUAGAGGGUAGCGGAAUUCCUGGUGUAGCAGUGAAAUGCGUAGAGAUCAGGAGGAACAUCCAUGGCGAAGGCAGCUACCUGGACCAACACUGACACUGAGGCACAAAAGCGUGGGGAGCAAACA
This 426-nucleotide ribosomal RNA is filed under the name uncultured Stenotrophomonas sp. RNAcentral's name for it is "bacterial SSU rRNA". It matches the Rfam family "Bacterial small subunit ribosomal RNA", at positions 356 to 774 of the family's 1533-position model. Lineage: Bacteria; Pseudomonadati; Pseudomonadota; Gammaproteobacteria; Lysobacterales; Lysobacteraceae. The record is from RNAcentral.